RNAcentral lists this transfer RNA (73 nucleotides) under Camelus bactrianus (Bactrian camel). It matches the Rfam family "tRNA". From Rfam's summary of the family: Transfer RNA (tRNA) molecules are approximately 80 nucleotides in length. Their secondary structure includes four short double-helical elements and three loops (D, anti-codon, and T loops). Lineage: Eukaryota; Metazoa; Chordata; Mammalia; Artiodactyla; Camelidae. The record is from Rfam by way of RNAcentral. RNAcentral also lists the same sequence under 1 other name.
GAAAGUAUAGCUCAAGUGGUAGAGCACACGCUUAGCAUGCAUGAGGUCCUGGCUUCAAUCACCAGUACCUCCU